Molecule: ribosomal RNA, 422 nt
Filed under: uncultured Gemmiger sp.
Lineage: Bacteria; Bacillati; Bacillota; Clostridia; Eubacteriales; Oscillospiraceae
Description: bacterial SSU rRNA
Rfam family: Bacterial small subunit ribosomal RNA
Source: RNAcentral
UAGGGAAUAUUGCUCAAUGGGGCGAAAGCCUGAAGCAGCAACGCCGCGUGGAGGAUGACACUUUUCGGAGCGUAAACUCCUGUCGUUAGGGACGAUAAUGACGGUACCUAACAAGAAAGCACCGGCUAACUACGUGCCAGCAGCCGCGGUAAAACGUAGGGUGCAAGCGUUGUCCGGAAUUACUGGGUGUAAAGGGAGCGCAGGCGGACCGGCAAGUUGGAAGUGAAACCAUGGGCUCAACCCAUGAAUUGCUUUCAAAACUGCUGGCCUUGAGUAGUGCAGAGGUAGGCGGAAUUCCCGGUGUAGCGGUGGAAUGCGUAGAUAUCGGGAGGAACACCAGUGGCGAAGGCGGCCUACUGGGCACCAACUGACGCUGAGGCUCGAAAGUAUGGGUAGCAAACAGGAUUAGAUACCCUGGUAGU